RNAcentral lists this ribosomal RNA (563 nucleotides) under Rhodotorula alborubescens. RNAcentral describes it as "partial large subunit ribosomal RNA". It matches the Rfam family "Eukaryotic large subunit ribosomal RNA", at positions 86 to 665 of the family's 3401-position model. Lineage: Eukaryota; Fungi; Basidiomycota; Microbotryomycetes; Sporidiobolales; Sporidiobolaceae. The record is from RNAcentral.
GCGGCGAGCGAAGCGGGAAGAGCUCAAAUUUAUAAUCUGGCACCUUCGGUGUCCGAGUUGUAAUCUCUAGAAAUGUUUUCCGCGUUGGACCGCACACAAGUCUGUUGGAAUACAGCGGCAUAGUGGUGAGACCCCCGUAUAUGGUGCGGACGCCCAGCGCUUUGUGAUACAUUUUCGAAGAGUCGAGUUGUUUGGGAAUGCAGCUCAAAUUGGGUGGUAAAUUCCAUCUAAAGCUAAAUAUUGGCGAGAGACCGAUAGCGAACAAGUACCGUGAGGGAAAGAUGAAAAGCACUUUGGAAAGAGAGUUAACAGUACGUGAAAUUGUUGGAAGGGAAACGCUUGAAGUCAGACUUGCUUGCCGAGCAAUCGGUUUGCAGGCCAGCAUCAGUUUUCCGGGAUGGAUAAUGGUAGAGAGAAGGUAGCAGUUUCGGCUGUGUUAUAGCUCUCUGCUGGAUACAUCUUGGGGGACUGAGGAACGCAGUGUGCCUUUGGCGGGGGUUUCGACCUCUUCACACUUAGGAUGCUGGUGGAAUGGCUUUAAACGACCCGUCUUGAACCACGGA